UAACUACUUUGUUCUCACCAUGAACGUGAAGCCACAGCAUAAGUCUUUCGUAUAUUUUGAAGACAGACAUGUUCAUUCACUUGAGUUUAGCCCCGUCUCAGACGUAUGUAGCCAUGCCAUCGUGCGAUGCAAAGUCAUACCAUCACUGCCUACGAGCAACAAGAAAGAAUGCCCAGACCACAUUGCAUGGAUUUGUUUGUCAAAGGUUACAGGCAAGAUUCACUCUGCAGACUGCACUUGUGCAGCUGGGGCUGGUGAGGCUUGCAAUCACAUUGCAGCACUGUGCCACUGUUUAGUUGAUGUGACAACAAGGAGGAAAGCCGGUACUACAUCAUGCACAUCCCAACCAUGCAAGUGGAAUAACCCACGCAAGAGGAAACUUAGUCCAAAAAGAUCACAAGAUGUUAAUUUUAGAAAGUCAUCUUCUGUUCUACAUGAAAGGAAAGCAGUGAUAGAAAAUUGUUCAAAUUCAGAGAAGUGUGAUAAGAUUGGUAAUGAAAAAGCAGCUUACAUUAAACCCAUUGUCAACUGUCAGAGAUUUAAACAGAAACUUGAAAGUAAGAAUUCCAAUGCUGCCUGGUUAAAGUUUUAUGCAGACACUUCUACGCCAUCAAACAUGAAACCCUCUCUGCCUCCCCUUCAUAACAUUUCCUUUUCAUAUUGUGACCAUGUAGAUCUUCAUUCCACUGAUUGUCAGCAAAAAAAUGCAGGUAUUAUUUGAUUGUAUGCAUGUGUCAGAGGAAGAUGCCCAUUGUAUCGAGACAUUAACAGGAGGUCAGCAUAAAAACGACUUAUGGUUAGCUGCCAGAAGUGAAAGACUUACUUCUUCUAAAUUUGGAGAUGUUGUGUUGAUGCGCAGUGACACAAAGCCAGAUAAUCUUCUUAAAGAUAUUUGUGGCUACAGAGACAUUUCUGAUGUUACUUUUUGUAAAUGGGGAACCAGUCAUGAACCUGCAGCACGCAAGGUCUAUCAAACAGCAAACAAGAACUGUGUCUGUGUGGAACAAUGUGGUCUUAUUGUUAAUCCAAAGUAUCCACACCUUGGUGCUAGCCCUGAUGGUUUGAUACAGACUGAUGAUGGACAUACUGGUGGUGUUCUUGAGAUAAAGUGUCCUGCACGCUGUGACUGGAAAUGGAUGGAGCCCAAGGAGUGUGCCAAGGAUCCUAGAUUCUACUGUUCCCUAGAUGAGAAUGACCGUGUUCGUCUUAAAAGGUCUCAUAGAUAUUAUUACCAAAUUCAGGGUCAAAUGGCUAUUACUGAAAGACUGUGGUGUGAUUUCAUGAUUUGGACUUUGAAUGGGUGGACUGUUGACAGAAUCAGAUUUGAUGAAAAAGUCUGGAAUGACAUGCUGCCCCAGUUGAACAAAUUUUACCUGACUAAUGUAAUUCCAGAAUUAUUCUCAAGAAGAGUGAAAAGGGGUAUUCCACUGUAUAAUUAAAUAAGAUUUCAAGUGUUCCUAUAAAUGUAUCAGUGAUUGCCUGUGCUGACCAGUUCACAUUCAUUGUUGAAACAGUAUGGCAAUGUUUAAUGAAAAAGAGUUCAUGCUUGCUUGAAAAGUGUUUGAAUACACAAGGUGAAAAUGACAAGUGCAUAUUUCUAGAAUGUUUGCCUAAAGUUCUCAAAAGAGUGUUUGAAUUAAAUGUAGCAUGUGCAGAAUACCAAUCCACUGAGUAGGUUCAAGUGCUUGAAUAUAACCAAAUAUAAAUAUUUUUUCCUAUUGUACAUUUACAGUGAAAGCAAGUACCAUGAAAUCACUUACACUAUGACACAAGAAACAGACUUGUCUGUAACUAAAUUGCUUCAUCCCUUGUAUUUAAGUGCUUUAUUCUGCAUGCUAAAUGUUCUUAAAAUCUUUUGCCAUCUUAUUUGAUGGCUUAUAAUAAUUAUCAGCUUUGAAGAUCAAUUAGUAGUGUUUUUAAAUAUGUAUAUAUAACAAAAACACAAACAGAUCACUAAAAUUAUUUUAUUGGUGAACUGAUAACUGUGUGCAGAUCAAUACUGACUCACUUUCAACAACAUGGAUAGCUGUUUAACAGCUAGAGAGAUAAUAUACUUAUGGAACUUCCUGAACCAUUCAGUGCUACAGAGUCAAGUGAAAUCUUUCUUGUAGUAUUGAGGCCUCUGUACCAGUAUAUAUGUUGUAAAGACAAACGUUAAUAAUAUGAAACAUCACAAUUUGGUAUUUGCAUAUGGAUACCUAGAGCAUCACUAAAACCUGCCACAACUGAAAACGCACUACAAAGUAGUUUUGCUAAAUUAUCUCCCUUUAAGGUUAACUGUUCACAGUUCACAUCCUUUCAUAACUGGUGCAUUGUAUAAUAAAAAUAAAGAAAGGCACAUUUUCAAGCACACUAUUAUUUCAGUAUUUAACACAUUUGUCAAUAUUACAUUUGUUGAAUGACAUGCUCUACCAAUAAAGCUACAAAUUUGUCAGCUUUAUAGUAAUGUUCUAAUGGCAUUCACAUACUACAGAUAAAGCAAAAAAAAAUAGGUUUCUUGUAAAAAAAUGUAAAUGUUCUUAUUGACAAUAUAUACCUGUGUGUCAUUGUACAUAUGAUGGACAAUGCGGAUGUUGUGUAAAACAACUUACCUGACACUGCAUUCAGACAAUGUGUCAAGACAGGAAUUAAUAUAUUUGUGAAUGUAAAUAAAUAUAGAAUCUUC
This is a long non-coding RNA of Haliotis rubra (blacklip abalone), 2665 nucleotides long. RefSeq lists it as uncharacterized. Lineage: Eukaryota; Metazoa; Mollusca; Gastropoda; Lepetellida; Haliotidae. The transcript has 2 exons. The record is from RefSeq and is a predicted model, not a curated record.